RNAcentral lists this non-coding RNA (161 nucleotides) under Candidatus Burkholderia verschuerenii. RNAcentral's name for it is "Burkholderia sRNA 2". It matches the Rfam family "Burkholderia sRNA 2". Rfam says of the family: Upregulated in response to iron ion depletion. Predicted targets include MerR family transcriptional regulator. The record is from Rfam by way of RNAcentral. Lineage: Bacteria; Pseudomonadati; Pseudomonadota; Betaproteobacteria; Burkholderiales; Burkholderiaceae.
AUGAGCGCCUGUUCUUCCCAUUCCCUAAUUCGCCGCGCCCCACGCCGUCUGCCGUGCGGUGCGGUCGGCAUGGAUCCGGACUACGUGGAACGGGCACGUCGCGGGCGCUCCGAAAAAGCAGUCAGCCGCUGGUUCCGGUAGUCGGAACGGCGGCUUUUUUG